CUGCAAACUGGAACAUGAGCUCCCUGCCAGGUCUCCAGCUGCAUGGCCCUCAAACUGGAACAUCAGCUCCCCACCAGAUCGCCAGCUGCACGGCCCUCAAACUGGAAUAUAAGCUCCACCCCGGGGCUCCAGGUGCACAGCCCUCAACCUGCAACAUCAGCUCCCCACUGGGUCUCCACAUGAACGGCCCUCAAACUGCAACAUCAGCUCCCCACCGGGUCUCCAGAUGCAUGGCCCUCAAACUGGAACAUCGGCUCCCCACCGGGUCUCCAGCUGCAUGGCCUUAAACUGGAACAUCAGCUCCGAGACCCUCAAACAGGAACAUCAGCUCCCCACAGGGUCUCCAGCUGCACAGCCCUCAAAUUGCAACAUCACUUCCCCCCUGCGUGUCCAGCUGCACCGCCUCAAACUGCAACAUCAGCUCCCCGCUGGGUCUCCAGCAGCACGGCCCUCAACCUGGAACAUCAGCUCCCCCCAACCCGGGUCUCCAGCUCCACAGCCCUCAACCUGCAACACUGGCUACCCACUGGGUCUCCAGAUGCAUGGCCCUCAAACUGGAACAUCAGCUCAACCCCCGGUAUCCAGCUGCACAGCCCUCAAACUGGAACAUCAGCUCCCUGCCGGGUCUCCAGGUGCACGGCCCUCAAACUGGAACAUCAGCUCCCUGCCGGGUCUCCAGGUGCACGGCCCUCAAACUGGAACAUCAGUUCCCCCCGGGUAUACAGCUGCAUGGCCUUAAACUGGAACAUCAGCUCCCUGCCCAGGUC
This 767-nucleotide long non-coding RNA is filed under the name Pan troglodytes (chimpanzee). Its description in RNAcentral is "long non-coding RNA NONPTRT012305". The record is from RNAcentral. Lineage: Eukaryota; Metazoa; Chordata; Mammalia; Primates; Hominidae.